Long non-coding RNA from Lagopus leucura (white-tailed ptarmigan), 684 nucleotides. RefSeq lists it as uncharacterized. NCBI's taxonomy places the organism in Eukaryota, Metazoa, Chordata, Aves, Galliformes, Phasianidae. The record is from RefSeq and is a predicted model, not a curated record. The transcript is spliced from 5 exons.
UGUCUUGGGAGUGCAAAUAUAUCUGCUCAGCAUUCCUGGGAGGUUUGUGCAGGAGUUUAAGCUGAUACAGAAGACUAUUAAAAUGGUGAUGGAGCAGAAACGCCAUUCAUCAUCCCAGAGUGGAGAUUGUAGGCCGCGUUGGAUGUUCAGCAGCAAGCCCUCUCGUGCACUCUGUAGGGCCAUGGAAGCCUUUCAAUAAAAGGUGGAAAGGUGGACGUUAUUUACUCUGUUUUGGUGGUCCUGAGCAAAGGAGGAUGUGCUGAUGUGGAAAAAAAAGACAGUGUAAGACACAGCAGCCUUGAGUGAAUUUCAACUUUCAACCUGACUGCAUGGUACUGCCUGCAAAGCAGUGGGAAGAUCAAACAGCCAGCUGCUCAACAUUGGUCACUGCCUUCAGAGAACGAUGAACACAUCAGCACGGCUGAGCACUGCUGUAGAUCACCCAGCACACACAGAGGCCAGGGGAGAUCCUGCACUCCAGUCCCACAUCCAUCAGCAGCAUCAGCCCCACAUCGUCAGCAGCAGCACAUCCUGCUCCUUUGCCAUGGAGGGCAGCUGAUUUUUGUGGUCACCAGGGAAUGGGAGACGCAUGGCAGCAGUUGGGACAGCACAGCCACAUGCAUCUGGUCCGCGGCUGUGGCAUGCUCAUGAGUGAGAUGCACUCUCAGGUACAAAGGGCAGCAG